This 244-nucleotide unclassified non-coding RNA is filed under the name plant metagenome. RNAcentral describes it as "partial contains small subunit ribosomal RNA, internal transcribed spacer 1, and 5.8S ribosomal RNA". The record is from RNAcentral.
UCUCCGCUGGUGAACCAGCGGAGGGAUCAUUACCGAGUUUACAACUCCCAAACCCAAUGUGAACCAUACCAAACUGUUGCCUCGGCGGGGUCACGCCCCGGGUGCGUCGCAGCCCCGGAACCAGGCGCCCGCCGGAGGGACCAACCAAACUCUUUCUGUAGUCCCCUCGCGGACGUUAUUUUUACAGCUCUGAGCAAAAAUUCAAAAUGAAUCAAAACUUUCAACAACGGAUCUCUUGGUUCUG